CAUUUAGCAACCAUGCCCACAAACGAUGCUACCUAAUCUGGCAUUUUCCAUCAGAGAAUCUGUGCAACCCAAUGGGCUAGUUGUGUCAUUCCGCGUGACUGUAUGGGCAGGCCGCAUAAAGCCAGGAGAAAAGUUGGGGGCACUGAUGGCAACUCCUACCACCACACGAUCGAGCAAAAGGCACUGGAAGGUGUCCAGGUUCAAUGCACGCGAUCCCGGUCGUUGAAGGACACCGUUCAAAGCUGAAGACCCAGAUGACAAGUUCCAGAGCAGGUCAGGUAACGGAGCUUUGAGCCUCUGAAAGGGCAUCUGGAUAUUUGGGAGGGUAUAAGUAGCUUUGUAGAAGCAUCAUCUCUGAAAGCCAGGAUGAUGAUGCCAUUCUUCCCUGAGCUGUAGGAGGAGAUCAGGCUGUCGUCUCGCAUGGAGUUCCCCCAUUCUCACUUCUUGGCUCUAGUCACUUCUUGGCUCUUGGUAGUUUGUUGUUCCUUUCAGGUAGGCAAGAGGGUUUGGUUGUUGUGAUGUUGAUCUCCUUUGUGUUCGCCGGGGAGAUGGCGUUUGCAUCUCAUCUUGCUGCUGCUGCGUGUUGAUGCAGUUUGAUUGUAUGCGUUGUAUCCAGGCAAAUAAAUCUUUGAUGAGCUUAUUUCUGUCUCCUUUAAUAAAUCUCCUUUUUGUAGCGCGUGGAGUGCGUGGCCGGGUCGGCCAGCGUGUCUGUGUGCGGUCUUUUUAUUUGCGCCAUGAACAUUGUAACGGUUUUCGCUCGGUUUUUCCGUUUAAUUAACUGGCCAAUUUAUUUCUUCUUGAUCAAUGGAUUGAGUCUUCAGACUCCGGUUUGAAAAAAAAAAUCUUUGAUGACACAUGAAUGGUCGUGUUUCUUCUUUCGCUCUGUCUUUGACUGUAAAUCACCUCGGGAAAUACAAAUGUUCAACUUACAGACUGCUAUUCCGUUAUGCCACUAAUGGGCGUUUUGGAAACAAAAAGAUAUGUAAAUGUUCGACUCGAGAGAUGCAAUGUGUAUUUCUGGAUGGGCUCAUGAUUCUGGAGUCUGAACUUUAGGUUCAGGGGCAUCUCAUUGGAUAAGUUUCGGAUCCAGGACCGGUUUCUGAAUAAAAAACUCUAAUGCCAAGGAGCAGUUAAGACUUCAUGUUGGUUUAUUUUCCUAUAAUCUCGAUCAAACUUUAAGAAGGUGACUUCAUACAAAUCUAGAACUUAUUACGGAACGGAGGCAGCGAUAGAUUUAGAAAAAUUCAGAUGCACGAAUUGGGCUGCACCAAACAAGCGGCCCAGGCAAGUCUGGCGGCCUUGUUCCCUAGGGACGGCCCUGGUUAUGGACAGGGCGGCCCGCGUGGAGUACUCAUCCGCUACAGAUCAGCCGGCGGUGAGCGUCGCGCCGCCGCGCGUGCCAUACACGAACUGCCGCAGGACUCGGAGCAGCUCGUCGGCGGCCUUGCCCCACGGCUCGUAGACGAAGAAGGCGUGCCCCUGCCCAACAACAAACUCUGUUUUUCUAAAAAUACUCUGUUUUUUUUAAAAAAAAACAAGUAGGAGCUGUACUUCUGUACCUAAUAAUAAAAGCAGUAGUUGGUUUUCGUCCGUUUUUUGGGCCGGCCUUUUCUUUCCGGGCCAAGUCCACCUCCUGCGCCUCCUUCCUCUCUCUGCAUCGCCAAGCCAACCAGCUUCCUGCCUCUCUGCAUUGACGGCGCCGACGACCGCAUCGUCGUCUGGAUUGCCAGGAUUGUUUCCGUCGUCCGUCCGCCUGGUACGUCCGCGAGCCACCCCGCACCCCUCAUCCGGUCCUCCCCCCUCCUCUCGCAUCCUCCGGUCGCGGUGUUCCAGCUGGCGUUGCAGACAGAGACGCAGUCGACGGACCGGCCGACGAUGCAUGAGGUGGUGCACGUCCUGUACUGCCUCGUGCAUCCCGACCCGCCGCCGAAGCUUAUGCAGCCGCCUCUGCUGUCGUCCUCCUCGCUGCAGCCAGCGGCCGUCCUGGAUCUGGAGGCACAGCGUCGCUGGAGCAGGAGGGCGCCGAGGUGGAUAAGGUGAGGGUUUGCAGUUUGGCUGUCCUAUGGUGCGGCAUAGGAACAUAGCUUAUUGUCAGCAUUUGACUUAUUUACAGCAACAUAGCAAGGUAUUGUCAGCAUUGCUCCUUUUACAUACUUAUACCUGAGGUGAAGAUUGAUACCACAACCACCUUUCUGGUGCAGCAUUGAUGAUAUAGAUGAGGCUGUUCUAGGACCUGGUAGAUUUGGGAAGAAGCAUUUUGUUCCUUUUACCUUGUGCUGAUGGGAAUGCACAUGCUGAGAAAAAAACUGUCUCUGACGGUGUUGAUUUGGAUGCACUUGCACGUCGAGAGGAGUGCAAUAAUCUCACAAUGCACACCUAGCUUUACUGGUUAUUCACUGUUUUUAAAUUGAAUGGCUGCUCUGUCUUAAUUUGCCGAAAUCUGAUAUUUUGCUUACUUGUGUAAUCUGUGGCCAGGAAAUCCUAAGACAUGAUUGAUAAUUGGUUCAAUCCACUAGAGUAAACUAAGCUUGUAUCGUUAUGUCAUUAUGGAUUGCACCGUUUUUGUCCUCUGUUAAUUAGCUGAAGUAUAAUAACUAGCAAGAAGUUUUCUUGAUCUCUGUUUGUUGCAUGGUGGUGUACUAUGUUAGUCUCAUGGUGUACUGUGGAGUGUUUGUUGCAUGGUGGUGUACUAUGUUAGCUCAUGGUGUACUGUUGGAGUAUAAUACCUAGGCCGUGGCAACGCAAGGGUAUCUUUACUAGUAAUGUCCGAUGGCCCAAUGCCCUCGAUAGUUCUCGACGUCCUUCCGUUGACAAGUCAGUAAUCUGCUUUUACUUGCACAAGCCAUUGCCACGAGGAGAGCGCAAAGCAGCACAGUACAGACUCCAGAGUCCAAGCAAGAAAUUUAGCACGACGAGGUCGAGAAUUCGAGAUCGAGAAAACCAUGGCAUCAAUGCCUCCAGCUCCCUCCUCUCAUCCGGACAACGCAGCGCCGGCAUGCCGCAGGUGCUCAGCGACGGCACAAUCGUCCGUCCCCCGCCGCCGCCCUUCUUUGGCUCCGCGACCAGCUACAAAAGAUCACAUAUUGGAACGACAGCACAGCUUUUUAAUCCUUGCGCAAGUCGAUGGGAAGGGCCAAAUAAAGAGAUCUGAACUUCAACCAUUCCUCGCCAGGCCCAAGAAUGUUGUAUGCUCUCUGCAGCAUGUCGUCACGCGCCAAGUCAGGCAUCUCAUGUAGCGUCGACGCCAACGCCUCUUCAGGGGAGGCCAUGGGCGUCAAGCCUGAUGAGCUUGGUUUCUUUGGUGCUCCAAGAGUAUCGUCUUCACGUCGCCAUUGCCUUUGGCUCGCCGCCGUACGUUCGUCGUGGGAGAAGGCGUUGAAAUGCGUUCGUCGUGGGAGGAGGCAGAGCUGGGCCUCCAUCGCCGCCCUUUCCCCUUCCUCCCCGUCGUCGUCGUCCCUGAAACAGCGAUCGAGCGCCGCCGCCAUCUUGUCUUGUUCGCGGCGCAGGAGCGUCGUGGAUCUCGAAUCCAUGUAGCGCUGCUCCUUCUUCUUCCGCCCCCACUGGUCCUCUCGCUCGGCGUGGUAGCAAGGGGGCAACAACGACAGCGACGGCGGCCGAGCGGGCGCUGUACACGAAGAAAUCGACCGUGCAGCCCAUGUCUGGAGGAGGACGGAGUCGCCGUGGGCCGCCAAGACGAGCGUUUCGACCUUGAUCCCGUGCGGGUAGUCGACGACAGCGCCGGCGGAGACCCGGGCGAGGUGGCCGCUGGAGACGCGGGCGUCGGGAUCAUCGCACCGCCGGUACUGCUCGAGCAGAAGCGGCCGGCCAAGGAUCGCCAUCGGGUGGUGGUUCCUGGUGAUCCGGUCGGGUUUUCAUGUCCCGCAGGUUCGAUUUGUUGGGGAUCGCGCCGUAUUUCUAUCGGCUCGCUCAUCUGAUUUGUUGGAGGAGAACGAGCCUAAUUUGCUGGGAAAUCGGUACGAGUACGAUCGAGUUUGUUGCCUUCCAGGCGAGGAAAAGGCGUGCUAAGUAGAGCUCUUAUUUAGGUGUAUUUUUUAGAAACAAAACAGAGUACUAUCUUUUUUGACAAUUAGAAAACAGAGUAUAUAUACUCGUACAUCCCAACUGCUAAAACCCCCAAUUUACGGACUCGUUUCUUUUUUGUUUACUAGAGUACCCUUUGUGAAGAAACCUAUAUUGCGUAUGCCUUGUUUGGUUUGAGCAGGCCCUGUUUGCUGCGGAAUGGAUAAACGAAUCCAGGUAUUGCAGGUUUGAAGUGAACUGAGCAAAUCAUGUUAUGGUAAGGAGGGAGGCCGAGGGGCGCGUGACGGUGCCGUCCUUUUUUUUGCGUAUGCCUUGUUGGUUUGAGCAGGUGACGGUGCUCGGUUCGAUCCGUGUAUGGUUACAACUUAGAACUGUUUGAAGGCUUGCGUUGGAACGCAGAUAUUUCACUGGAAUUCAACACAAAAGAGUUUAGUUUUAUGCUAGAGAGGAGAUCGUCGAGGGCGUGGCCAUUGAGCUGAUUAUUGAUUCUUGCCUUGAUUGCUGCGACUGAUUGUCCGACCGGAGAGCCAACGAAGGAUAGAGGCAGACGCAUUAUCGAGACGUCAGGCUAAACAGGCCUCCUCAAGCGCACCAACCUCGAAAUGGGGUUCCCUUCAGAAAAGGAAAAAAACCUCAAAAUGGGCCCUGAAAGGCCCAACUGAGCUUUAAUGAAGCUUUGCGAGCCUGCCGAGCCCAACCGUGUGAUCAAGUAACCCCAGGUAAGCAGGAUGUUGGAGUUGGAACUCUAAAAAAAAAAAGAUAAGCAGGAAUUUUGGCUCAUGUACUAUUGUGUAUACAUACAUACGCUGUCUUCAUUCUUCGACAUAGCGAGAGGGAUUGCCCUUCAACAUAUAUAUACAUGUACUUGUCUCGUCUGCUAGCUUAAUUAGUUAUUGCUGAUUCCCUGCCGACAUAUCCACCGUUUGUCUCUGAAGAGAUCUUCUAUAGCUACUCUAGUGACAUUGUCAAAUGGAAAAUGGAAAUCGGUGCAUGUCCUCAUUGGGUAACAUAUAUACUUACUCCCUUGCUAAGGUUCAACUCACU
RNAcentral lists this long non-coding RNA (5085 nucleotides) under Brachypodium distachyon (stiff brome). RNAcentral describes it as "long non-coding RNA (BDIS_LNC001125)". The record is from RNAcentral. Lineage: Eukaryota; Viridiplantae; Streptophyta; Magnoliopsida; Poales; Poaceae.